RNAcentral lists this transfer RNA (90 nucleotides) under Aspergillus fischeri NRRL 181. Its description in RNAcentral is "tRNA-Asp". It matches the Rfam family "tRNA". Rfam says of the family: Transfer RNA (tRNA) molecules are approximately 80 nucleotides in length. Their secondary structure includes four short double-helical elements and three loops (D, anti-codon, and T loops). Lineage: Eukaryota; Fungi; Ascomycota; Eurotiomycetes; Eurotiales; Aspergillaceae. The record is from Rfam by way of RNAcentral.
UCCUCGAUGGUCUAACGGUCAUGAUUUCCGCUUGUCACUCUCUAAUGAGAACGAGCGCGGGAGACCAGGGUUCGACUCCCUGUCGGGGAG